GAUGAACGCUGGCGGCGUGCCUAAUACAUGCGAGUCGAGCGAACGGACGAGAAGCUUGCUUCUCUGAUGUUAGCGGCGGACGGGUGAGUAACACGUGGAUAACCUACCUAUAAGACUGGGAUAACUUCGGGAAACCGGAGCUAAUACCGGAUGAUAUUUUGAACCGCAUGGUUCAAAAGUGAAAGACGGUCUUGCUGUCACUUAUAGAUGGAUCCGCGCUGCAUUAGCUAGUUGGUAAGGUAACGGCUUACCAAGGCAACGAUGCAUAGCCGACCUGAGAGGGUGAUCGGCCACACUGGAACUGAGACACGGUCCAGACUCCUACGGGAGGCAGCAGUAGGGAAUCUUCCGCAAUGGGCGAAAGCCUGACGGAGCAACGCCGCGUGAGUGAUGAAGGUCUUCGGAUCGUAAAACUCUGUUAUUAGGGAAGAACAUAUGUGUAAGUAACUGAGCACAUCUUGACGGUACCUAAUCAGAAAGCCACGGCUAACUACGUG
RNAcentral lists this ribosomal RNA (497 nucleotides) under uncultured bacterium. Its description in RNAcentral is "partial 16S ribosomal RNA". It matches the Rfam family "Bacterial small subunit ribosomal RNA", at positions 28 to 507 of the family's 1533-position model. The record is from RNAcentral.